Pipra filicauda (Wire-tailed manakin) is the source of this 373-nucleotide long non-coding RNA. RefSeq lists it as uncharacterized. The record is from RefSeq and is a predicted model, not a curated record. The transcript is spliced from 2 exons. Lineage: Eukaryota; Metazoa; Chordata; Aves; Passeriformes; Pipridae.
UGGCGCUUGGAACAGCGGGUCGUCCGGGCAGAGGGAGUAAAAGAGAAGAACCGCUCUCCUUCCCAGCUGUCUGUGGUGGCCUAUGAGGUCUGUAUUUGCUUUGGAGGAGGGAAUGAAAACUUGGGAUGAAAUGAAGUGGAUCAGGAUGGUGGAACAAAAAGGAAAAAAGCAGAAAACCUUUCAAAUCUUAUUCAAGUUAUUUUUUUUUCCCAGUAAUAGAAACCAUGAAAUUCCUUAUAACAUUAUAGUAUUUUACAGUUUUAUGAAGCUUUCUAUUGUGACUUUUAUGGAAUCAAAAGAUGAUGAGAUAUUUUAGCAUUUCUAUUUUUCAAAAUUAAAUGUCUACUGAAAAUAAAGUAGCUUUAUGCAUUUA